Molecule: ribosomal RNA, 248 nt
Filed under: uncultured bacterium
Lineage: Bacteria
Description: partial small subunit ribosomal RNA
Rfam family: Bacterial small subunit ribosomal RNA
Source: RNAcentral
AGAAUCAACGCUGGCGGCGUGCCUAACACAUGCAAGUCGCACGAGAAAGCGGGAGCAAUCCUGUGAGUAAAGUGGCGUACGGGUGAGUAACACGUGAAUCAUCUACCUUCGAGUGUGGAAUAACUGAGAGAAAUCUUAGCUAAUACCGCAUAAUACUUACGAGUCAAAGCAGCAAAUGCGCUUGAAGAGGAGUUCGCGGCAGAUUAGUUAGUUGGCGGGGUAAUGGCCCACCAAGACGAUGAUCUGUA